AACGAACGCUGGCGGCGCGCUUAACACAUGCAAGUCGAACGAGAAGGCGUAGCAAUACGCUUGUAAAGUGGCGAACGGGUGAGGAAUACAUGGGUAACCUACCCUCGAGUGGGGGAUAACCCGCCGAAAGGCGGGCUAAUACCGCGUACGCUUCCGAUCUCGCGGGAUCGGAAGGAAAGCUGUCCCAAGGGGGAUGGCGCUCAAGGAUGGGCUCAUGUCCUAUCAGCUUGUUGGUAGGGUAACGGCCUACCAAGGCAUCGACGGGUAGCUGGUCUGAGAGGACGAUCAGCCACACUGGCACUGCGACACGGGCCAGACUCCUACGGGAGGCAGCAGUGAGGAAUAUUGCGCAAUGGGCGAAAGCCUGACGCAGCGACGCCGCGUGGGGGAGUGAAGGUCUUCGGAUUGUUAAACCCCUUUCGGGAGGGAAGACGGCCUUAGACAACUAAGGCGGACGGUACCUCCAGAAGCAGCCACGGCUAACUUCGUGCC
Molecule: ribosomal RNA, 492 nt
Filed under: uncultured bacterium
Lineage: Bacteria
Description: bacterial SSU rRNA
Rfam family: Bacterial small subunit ribosomal RNA
Source: RNAcentral